ACGAAGGGGGCGAGCGUUGUUCGGAUUUACUGGGCGUAAAGGGCGCGUAGGCGGCGAUGUAAGUCAGGCGUGAAAGCCCCGGGCUCAACCUGGGAACGGCGCUUGGGACUACAUUGCUGGAGUUCGGGAGAGGAGAGUGGAAUUCCCAGUGUAGAGGUGAAAUUCGUAGAUAUUGGGAAGAACACCGGUGGCGAAGGCGGCUCUCUGGACCGAUACUGACGCUGAGGCGCGAAAGCGUGGGGAGCAAACAGGAUUAGAUACCCUGGUAGUCCACGCUGUAAACGAUGUGUGCUAGACGUUGGGGGGCCUAGCUCCUCGGUGUCGCAGCUAACGCUUUAAGCACACCGCCUGGGGAGUACGGCCGCAAGGUUA
This 372-nucleotide ribosomal RNA is filed under the name uncultured bacterium. RNAcentral describes it as "bacterial SSU rRNA". It matches the Rfam family "Bacterial small subunit ribosomal RNA", at positions 525 to 896 of the family's 1533-position model. The record is from RNAcentral.